Long non-coding RNA from Chroicocephalus ridibundus (black-headed gull), 673 nucleotides. RefSeq lists it as uncharacterized. NCBI's taxonomy places the organism in Eukaryota, Metazoa, Chordata, Aves, Charadriiformes, Laridae. The record is from RefSeq and is a predicted model, not a curated record. The transcript has 4 exons.
ACGGACGGACGGAGGAGCCCCAGCCACACCGGGACCUGCGUGGGGUGAGGAGCCCCGGGAAGGAGCCGGUCUGCCUGCGCUGAGGCUGAUGCUGCCGCCUGCCCCGUGACGGGGGACAGCGUGGCCUGCGCCCCCCCGGAGACCUGUGAGGACGGCACCGCUCCAGCUCCGUACGGCUUCAGGUCCGGCUCCUGGACGGCCGCAGUUCGAUUUUGGCUCCAGCUCAUUUGUGGCUCCUGUUUGUUUCUGCGCUGGUUCCAGUCCAGCAGAUGGACGGCUCCAGCCCCAGCUCCUUGCGGCUCCAGCUCAUGGAUGGCUCUGGCUCGUUUCUGCUCCUGUUCCUUGUGGCUCCAGCUCAUUUGCACCUUCAGUUUUGGCUCCAGCUCGUUUGCGGCUCCUGUUUGUGUCUGCUCUGGAUUCAGUCCGGCUCAUGGACGGCUCCAGCUCGAUUCCAGCUCGUUGCGACUCCAGCUCAUGGAUGGCUCUGGCUCAUUUCAGCUCCUGCUUGUUGUGACUCCAGCUCAUUUGCACCUUCAGGUCCAGCUCCUGGUGGGCUCCAGUUGGGUUUCAUCUCCUGGGCAGUUUUGGCUCCAGCCCAUUGAUGGUUCCAGCUCGUUUUCGCCUCCAGCUCUUGGGUGGUUCCAGCUCUGGCUCCAGCCCCAGCCCAUCACAG